GAUGAACGCUGGCGGCGUGCCUAAUACAUGCAAGUCGAGCGAACAGACGAGGAGCUUGCUCCUCUGACGUUAGCGGCGGACGGGUGAGUAACACGUGGAUAACCUACCUAUAAGACUGGGAUAACUUCGGGAAACCGGAGCUAAUACCGGAUAAUAUAUUGAACCGCAUGGUUCAAUAGUGAAAGACGGUUUUGCUGUCACUUAUAGCUGGAUCCGCGCGGCAUUAGCUAGUUGGUAAGGUAACGGCUUACCAAGGCACCGAUGCGUAGCCGACCUGGGAGGUUGUCCGGCAAACCGGAACUGAGACACGGUCCAGACUCCUACGGGAGGCAGCAGUAGGGAAUCUUCCGCAAUGGGCGAAAGCUUGACGGAGCAACGCCGCGUGAGUGAUGAAGGUCUUCGGAUCGUAAAACUCUGUUAUUAGGGAAGAACAAAUGUGUAAGUAACUAUGCACGUCUUGACGGUACCUAAUCAGAAAGCCACGGCUAACUACGUG
RNAcentral lists this ribosomal RNA (496 nucleotides) under uncultured bacterium. RNAcentral describes it as "partial 16S ribosomal RNA". It matches the Rfam family "Bacterial small subunit ribosomal RNA", at positions 28 to 507 of the family's 1533-position model. The record is from RNAcentral.